RNAcentral lists this small nuclear RNA (105 nucleotides) under Sciurus vulgaris (Eurasian red squirrel). The record is from RNAcentral. Lineage: Eukaryota; Metazoa; Chordata; Mammalia; Rodentia; Sciuridae.
GUGCUUGCUUCAGCAGCACAUAUACUAAACAUUGGAAUGAUACAGAGAUUAGCAUGGCCCCAGGGCAAGAAUGACACAUAAAUUUAUAAAGCAUUCCAUAUUUUU